GAUGAACGCUGGCGGCGUGCCUAACACAUGCAAGUCGAGCGAACUCUUGGUAGCUUCCUCCCCAUAGUUAUCGGCGGACGGGUGAGUAACACGUGUGCAACCUGCCUUUAAGAUUGGGAUAACUUCGGGAAACCGGAGCUAAUACCGGACAACAUUGAAGAUCACAUGGCCUUCAAUUAAAAGUUGGCUCUUACCUACCACUUACAGACGGACCCGCGGUGCAUUAGGUAGUUGGUGAGGUAACGGCUCACCAAGGCGACGGUGCGUAACCGAGCUGAAAGGGAGGACGGCCAAAAUGGGACCGGGAACACGCCCAGGAUCCUACGGGGAGGAACAGUAGGGGAACAUCCGAAAUGGGCGGAAAUCUGACGGAAGCAAGCCGGCGGGGGGGAGGAAGCCCUCGGGUCGUGAGGCUCUGUUGUUAGGGAAAGAAAAGUAGCGUGCGAAUACGGCGCUGUCUUGACGGUACCUAAACAGAAAGCCACGGCUAACUACGUG
Molecule: ribosomal RNA, 498 nt
Filed under: uncultured bacterium
Lineage: Bacteria
Description: partial 16S ribosomal RNA
Rfam family: Bacterial small subunit ribosomal RNA
Source: RNAcentral